RNAcentral lists this ribosomal RNA (621 nucleotides) under Salmonella enterica subsp. enterica serovar Liverpool. Its description in RNAcentral is "partial 23S ribosomal RNA". It matches the Rfam family "Bacterial large subunit ribosomal RNA", at positions 2182 to 2802 of the family's 2925-position model. Lineage: Bacteria; Pseudomonadati; Pseudomonadota; Gammaproteobacteria; Enterobacterales; Enterobacteriaceae. The record is from RNAcentral.
GGAGCCGGCCUUGAAAUACCACCCUUUAAUGUUUGAUGUUCUAACGUGGACCCGUUACCCGGGUUGCGGACAGUGUCUGGUGGGUAGUUUGACUGGGGCGGUCUCCUCCUAAAGAGUAACGGAGGAGCACGAAGGUUGGCUAAUCCUGGUCGGACAUCAGGAGGUUAGUGCAAUGGCAUAAGCCAGCUUGACUGCGAGCGUGACGGCGCGAGCAGGUGCGAAAGCAGGUCAUAGUGAUCCGGUGGUUCUGAAUGGAAGGGCCAUCGCUCAACGGAUAAAAGGUACUCCGGGGAUAACAGGCUGAUACCGCCCAAGAGUUCAUAUCGACGGCGGUGUUUGGCACCUCGAUGUCGGCUCAUCACAUCCUGGGGCUGAAGUAGGUCCCAAGGGUAUGGCUGUUCGCCAUUUAAAGUGGUACGCGAGCUGGGUUUAGAACGUCGUGAGACAGUUCGGUCCCUAUCUGCCGUGGGCGCUGGAGAACUGAGGGGGGCUGCUCCUAGUACGAGAGGACCGGAGUGGACGCAUCACUGGUGUUCGGGUUGUCAUGCCAAUGGCACUGCCCGGUAGCUAAAUGCGGAAGAGAUAAGUGCUGAAAGCAUCUAAGCACGAAACUUGCCCCGA